UACACUCCUGCGGGAGGCAGCAGUGAGGAAUAUUGGACAAUGGGUGGAAGCCUGAUCCAGCCAUCCCGCGUGCAGGAAGACGGCCCUAUGGGUUGUAAACUGCUUUUAUCUGGGGAUAAACCUACUUACGUGUAAGUAGCUGAAGGUACCAGAAGAAUAAGCACCGGCUAACUCCGUGCCAGCAGCCGCGGUAAUACGGAGGGUGCAAGCGUUAUCCGGAUUUAUUGGGUUUAAAGGGUCCGUAGGCGGACUGAUAAGUCAGUGGUGAAAUCCGACAGCUUAACUGUCGAACUGCCAUUGAUACUGUUAGUCUUGAGUAAGGUUGAAGUGGCUGGAAUAAGUAGUGUAGCGGUGAAAUGCAUAGAUAUUACUUAGAACACCAAUUGCGAAGGCAGGUCACUAAGUCUUAACUGACGCUGAUGGACGAAAGCGUGGGGAGCGAACAGGAUUAGAAACCCCGGUAGUCC
This 467-nucleotide ribosomal RNA is filed under the name uncultured organism. RNAcentral describes it as "partial 16S ribosomal RNA". It matches the Rfam family "Bacterial small subunit ribosomal RNA", at positions 332 to 796 of the family's 1533-position model. The record is from RNAcentral.